RNAcentral lists this ribosomal RNA (505 nucleotides) under uncultured bacterium. RNAcentral's name for it is "partial 16S ribosomal RNA". It matches the Rfam family "Bacterial small subunit ribosomal RNA", at positions 29 to 507 of the family's 1533-position model. The record is from RNAcentral.
ACGAACGCUGGCGGCGUGCUUCACACAUGCAAGUCGAACGGUGAAGGGACUGGUUUUGCUGGUCCUGGAUGAGUGGCGAACGGGUGAGUAACACGUGAGUAACCUGCCCCCUUCUUCUGGAUAACCGCAUGAAAGUGUGGCUAAUACGGGAUAUUCUGGGUCUGUCGCAUGGUGGGCCUGGGAAAGAUUGCGCCUUUUUUGGUGUUUUUGGUGGGGGAUGGGCUCGCGGCCUAUCAGCUUGUUGGUGGGGUGAUGGCCUACCAAGGCGGUGACGGGUAGCCGGCCUGAGAGGGUGGACGGUCACACUGGGACUGAGACACGGCCCAGACUCCUACGGGAGGCAGCAGUGGGGAAUAUUGCACAAUGGGCGCAAGCCUGAUGCAGCGACGCCGCGUGAGGGAUGGAGGCCUUCGGGUUGUGAACCUCUUUCGCCAGUGGAGCAGGCCUGCCUCUUUGUGUGGGUGGGUUGACGGUAGCUGGAGAAGAAGCGCCGGCUAACUACGUG